AUGCAGGCCAAAGUUUGAGAACCACUGCUGGAAGAUUCCAAUAGGCAUCAGCACUAUCAAAACACCUGCCUGACCCUCUAGGUGGGUCCUGUGCUUCCAUAAAGUCCUAUGUAAAUAAGGAUGUUUUCUUCCCCACCUGAUAUCAAGUUAGCAAGCUUAUGGAGGACCCGAAGGUAUUUUGAGCUGGUCAAAGGUGGAACAUAUGAGAAAGAAGGGCAUAGGGUGGAUCUAGACAUUUUCCCUGAUGCUUUAAUCUUUACAGAUGUUAUGCUGCUGUGAUCUAAGUACUAAGCAAAAAUCAUCAGGGGAGUGAUUAGAGAGGCUUGCUCUGGAUCACUCUAGGGAAGGUGGGGCUGCUCUACCUAAGAAUGCAUUUAGCCUCUGAGCAAUCCUUGAAAAGGAAUCACCCUUCCUAGAUCUUAGUUCCCCAACCAGUGAUCGAAACUGUGGCCCCUGCAGUGGAAGCAUGGAGUUCUAACCACUGGAUCGCCAGGGAAUUCCCUUUUCUGGUAUUGUUUUAAGGAUGUCAUAGGGUCCAUCUUUGCGUGAAGCUUCAGAGGGCUUCUGAACCCGCCCUUGACCACAUAGGUUCAAAAGGUGGCUCCAAAAUGGUGCCAAGUGACAGCCCUGGUUUGACAUCUUUUGGCUUCUGGACCUGGAGCUCCUCUUGAGCAGAGGCAGGGCCAAGCUUGACCAAAGGAGUCUCUGAUCUAAGGAGCAGCUUCUCAAAGGCAAGAAAACAAGUUUGCAGAGAAUAUACUGCUUUGAGCAAGACAUUCAGACGGAGUAAGAUGAACCCAUCAUUCGGCGGAGUAUGUAAAAGAGCCUAGCCCAGAAGCUUCUCUAUCUCCGGAGGUCCCUACUAACACAAUGGCCCUAAAACUAAAGUGAAUUUAUCACGGUCCCCACCAGAUGUGAAAGUCCCCCAGAUAAGGCCUUCUGAUUCUGUUUGACCAUUUCUGUCGAGAAAUAGUCUCAUUUUUAGUCUGGAGCUCUUUGUAUCAGAGAUCACAGAUCCAGAGCCCUCAAGAGGGCAAUAAAUUCAGCAGUUUUCUUGCUGCCAGGAAAUGAAAGCUUAAAACUCAUUUCAAGUCUCUUCCGUGUAACCCUGUUACAACUUGUCCCCACAGAAGCAGUCAGUAGGGCUCGAAUAGCCAGCAGUGGCCAGGAUGGCAAGAUUGCAUCUCCUAACUGCUGUCAUUCUCUUGGGAUUCUCUGCAUACUCCCUCUAACAGCAGGCCCCCUGGGGAAACACCAACACCCCCCCACCUGCACCAAACAAGCAUGAUUCAUGUGGAACUUGGAGACAGAUACCUUGAUGUAACUUGGGCAAGAAACCUAAUCUUUAUGUCCCAGUUUACUCAUCUGUAAAAUGGGAUGAUAGCACCUGCAUUAC
Long non-coding RNA from Bubalus bubalis (water buffalo), 1396 nucleotides. RefSeq lists it as uncharacterized. Lineage: Eukaryota; Metazoa; Chordata; Mammalia; Artiodactyla; Bovidae. The transcript has 4 exons. The record is from RefSeq and is a predicted model, not a curated record.